Molecule: ribosomal RNA, 484 nt
Filed under: uncultured bacterium
Lineage: Bacteria
Description: partial 16S ribosomal RNA
Rfam family: Bacterial small subunit ribosomal RNA
Source: RNAcentral
AAUGAACGCUGGCGGCAGGCCUAAUACAUGCAAGUCGAGCGGAUGAAGGGGGCUUUCCCUCGGAUUAAGCGGCGGACGGGGGUGUAAUGCCCAGGAAUAUGCCCGGUCGUGGGGGAUAAGGUCAGUUAAGGGGCGCUAAUACCGCACAGGUCCUGAGGGUGAAGGGGGGGGUUCAUUGGACCUACGCCUUUUAGAUGACCCUAGGUGGGAUUUGCGAGUCGGUGGGGUAAGGGCUUACCAAGGCGACGAUCCGCAACUGACCUGAGAGGAUGAUCGGUCACACUGGAACUGAGACACGGUCCAGACUCCUACGGGAGGCAGCAGUGGGGAAUAUUGGGCAAUGGGCGAAAGCCUGAUCCAGCCAUGCCGCGUGUGUGAAGAAGGUCUUCGGAUUGUAAAGCACUUUAAGUUGGGAGGAAGAGCAGUAUGUUAAAACCUUGCUGUUUUGACGGUACCAAAAGAGUAAGCACCGGCUAACUACGUG